ACACGUACGAAAGUCAAGCUAAAAGACUUUACUCAAUGAUGUAAGUGGUGGUGCAUGGCCGUUCGUAGUUCGUGGAUUGAUUUGUCUGGUCUAUUCCGAUAACGAGCGAGACCCCAGCGUUCCUAAUAGGGGCGGUAGCCCAGCUGGCCGCAAGGCCAGCUAGCUGCCUCCUCUUGUUAGCUUCUUGGACGGAUCAGAGCCGAUAAGGUUCUUGAAAUGGGUUAAUAACAGGUCAGUCAUGCCCUUAGAUGUUCUGGGCCGCACGCGCGUUACAAUGACACGUAAAGCAAGUGCUGGUGCAGUAUUCCCGUGGUUGAGAGGUUGUGGUAACCCCUACGCCAUGUCAAAACAGGGAUAGACCCCUGCAAUUAUUGGUCUUUAACGAGGAAUUUUUAGUAAUCACCGGUCAUUAACCGGUGAUGA
This 423-nucleotide ribosomal RNA is filed under the name Fuligo aurea. RNAcentral describes it as "SSU rRNA". It matches the Rfam family "Eukaryotic small subunit ribosomal RNA", at positions 1230 to 1644 of the family's 1831-position model. The record is from RNAcentral. Lineage: Eukaryota; Evosea; Eumycetozoa; Physariida; Physaraceae.